UACGUAGGGUGCGAGCGUUAAUCGGAAUUACUGGGCGUAAAGCGUGCGCAGGCGGUGAUGUAAGACAGGUGUGAAAUCCCCGGGCUUAACCUGGGAACUGCAUUUGUGACUGCAUUGCUGGAGUGCGGCAGAGGGGAUGGAAUUCCGCGUGUAGCAGUGAAAUGCGUAGAUAUGCGGAGGAACACCGAUGGCGAAGGCAAUCCCCUGGGCCUGCACUGACGCUCAUGCACGAAAGCGUGGGAGCAAACAGG
RNAcentral lists this ribosomal RNA (251 nucleotides) under uncultured bacterium. Its description in RNAcentral is "partial 16S ribosomal RNA". It matches the Rfam family "Bacterial small subunit ribosomal RNA", at positions 524 to 776 of the family's 1533-position model. The record is from RNAcentral.